RNAcentral lists this long non-coding RNA (323 nucleotides) under Homo sapiens (human). RNAcentral's name for it is "non-protein coding lnc-ROPN1L-5:1". The record is from RNAcentral. Lineage: Eukaryota; Metazoa; Chordata; Mammalia; Primates; Hominidae.
UUGGUGGCUGCAAAGAAGAAGAAAAAGCUCCUGGAGUCGAUCAACUGUAGGUUCCAACUCAUUAUGAAAAGUGGAAAGUAUGAGCUGGGGUACAAGCAGACUCUGAAGAUGAUUAGACAAGGCAAAGCAAAAUUGAUCAUUCUCACUAACAACCACCCAGCUAUGGAAUGUUGGCCAAAACUGGUGUCCAUCACUACGGUGGCAAUAAUAUUGAACUGGGCACAGCAUGCGGAAAAUAUUACAGAGUGGGCACACCGGCUAUCAUUGAUCUAGGUGAUUCUGACAUCAUUAGAAGCAUGCCAGAACAGAUUGGUGAAAAGCAA